RNAcentral lists this long non-coding RNA (1462 nucleotides) under Junco hyemalis (dark-eyed junco). RNAcentral describes it as "lncRNA (ENSJHYG00000017063.1)". Lineage: Eukaryota; Metazoa; Chordata; Aves; Passeriformes; Passerellidae. The record is from RNAcentral.
UUUGAUCCCAGUAUAUCCCUGUCCAUCCCAGUUUGUUCCAGUAUAUCCCAGUCCAUCCCAGUUCCUCCCAGUUUGAUCCCAGUCCAUCCCAGUAUAUCCCAGUAUAACCCAAUCCCCUCCCAGUCCCUCCCAGUCCCUCCCAGUUUGAUCCCAGUCCCUCCCAGUCCAUCCCAGUUUGAUCCCAGUCCAUCCCAGUUUGUCCCAGUCCCUCCCAGUCCAUCCCAGUAUAACGCAAUCCCCUCCCAGUCCAUCCCAGUCCCUCCCAGUCCAUCCCAGUAUAACCCAAUCCCCUCCCAGUCCAUCCCAGUAUAUCCCAGUUUGAUCCCAGUAUAUCCCAGUAUGUCCCAGUCCGUACCAGCGUCCCACUCCAGCAGACUGGGAUCCUCCCAGCUGCUCCCGGCCGCCGUGCGGAUGCAGCGCUUCAGCCGCUCGCCCCGCCCCUUCCGCUUGUCCUCGGCCGCAGGCUCCGCCCCCACCUGGCAAACAGCUGUCAGUCACCCCCGGGGACACGCCCACCCCACCCAGGACACGCCCACCAUGGUCGGGACAAGCCCACCCAGAAGAAAAGGCUGAAAUUUGGAAGCCCCGCCCCUUUUUCAGGACACUCAAUCUAUCUUGGUGGACAGCUGUCAAUCAACAGGACACGCCCACUCCAUCAUGGACAUGCCCACUCUGGCCACGCCCAAAUUCAGCCAAAUUGGAAGGCUCCACCCACUUUUGGAAAGUCCCACCCCAUCUUCAUGGACAGCUGUCAAUCACCUGGACACGCCCACCCUGAAGAAAACCCUUAAAUUUGGAAGCUCCGCCCCCUCAUGGACAGCUCACCCUAUCCCGAUUGACAGCUGUCAAUCAUAUCAGAGACAUCCACCUGCUAUAGACACGCCCACACGCAUCUGGCCACGCCCACCCAUGAGGAAAUGACACCAACCCCUCCAGACGCUCCGCCCCUUUCCUCGCAGCCGCACCCACUUUCUGAUGGACAGCUGUCAAUCACUGGGGUACAUAUAAGGACCCGCCCAUCUUUCUUAACCAUGCCCAUUUCUCCUCUUUUGCCACACCCACUAAUCCCCUGAGGCCACGCCCCCUUACCCACAGCCCCGCCCCCUUAAAAUCUGUCAAUCAUUUCUUUAGGCCACACCCCCUUCCCUUUAGUCCCACCCACUCCAAGCACUUAAACCCCGCCCCCUUAGGCUCCACCCCCUCAUGUUCAGCCCCACUCAGGCCCCGCCCCCUUUAAGCCCCGCCCACCUCAGGCACAGGGAAGGGCGGGUCCUGUGGGCGUGGCCUGCGCAAUGGGCGUGGCACCGGUGCGAUGUGAGCGGGGCCAGGGCGCGGCUCCGGAGGGGGCGUGGCCAUGGCGGGGGGCGGAGCCGGCAGGCUGGGACCAAUCCGAGGCUCCUCUGGAGGCGGGGCCCGAGGGGGCGGGGUCUCCUCCUGUGGGGGUGGGAAAAGGGUUAAAAGG